RNAcentral lists this ribosomal RNA (460 nucleotides) under uncultured bacterium. Its description in RNAcentral is "partial 16S ribosomal RNA". It matches the Rfam family "Bacterial small subunit ribosomal RNA", at positions 338 to 795 of the family's 1533-position model. The record is from RNAcentral.
CCUACGGGAGGCAGCAGUGAGGAAUAUUGGUCAAUGGGCUUACGCCUGAACCAGCCAAGUCGCGUGAGGGAAGACUGCCCUAUGGGUUGUAAACCUCUUUUGUCAGGGAGCAAUUGGCGCUACGUGUAGCGCUAUCGAUAGUACCUGAAGAAAAAGCAUCGGCUAACUUCGUGCCAGCAGCCGCGGUAAUAGGGAGGAUGCGAGCGUUAUCCGGAUUUAUGGGGUUUAAAGGGUGCGUAGGCGGAAUGCCAAGUCAGCGGUAAAAUCGCGGGGCUAAACCUGGCUCCGCUGUUGAAACUGGCGUUCUUGAGUGGGCGAGAGGUAUGCGGAAUGCGUGGUGUAGCGGUGAAAUGCAUAGAUAUCACGCAGAACUCCGGUUGCGAAGGCAGCAUACCGGAGCGCAACUGACGCUGAGGCACGAAAGCGUGGGUAUCGAACAGGAUUAGAUACCCCUGUAGUC